Molecule: ribosomal RNA, 497 nt
Filed under: uncultured bacterium
Lineage: Bacteria
Description: partial 16S ribosomal RNA
Rfam family: Bacterial small subunit ribosomal RNA
Source: RNAcentral
GAUGAACGCUGGCGGCGUGCCUAAUACAUGCAAGUCGAGCGAACGGACGAGAAGCUUGCUUCUCUGAUGUUAGCGGCGGACGGGUGAGUAACACGUGGAUAACCUACCUAUAAGACUGGGAUAACUUCGGGAAACCGGAGCUAAUACCGGAUAAUAUUUUGAACCGCAUGGUUCAAAAGUGAAAGACGGUCUUGCUGUCACUUAUAGAUGGAUCCGCGCUGCAUUAGAUAGUUGGUAAGGUAACGGCUUACCAAGGCAACGAUGCAUAGCCGACCUGAGAGGGUGAUAGGCCACACUGGAACUGAGACACGGUCCAGACUCCUACGGGAGGCAGCAGUAGGGAAUCUUACGCAAUGGGCGAAAGCCUGACGGAGCAACGCCGAGUGAGUGAUGAAGGUCUUCGGAUCGUAAAACUCUGUUAUUAGGGAAGAACAUAUGUGUAAGUAAAUGUGCACAUCUUGACGGUACCUAAUCAGAAAGCAACGGCUAACUACGUG